CACUGGAUGAAUCACCCAUGAUUCUGAUCUCGGAUAAUCUAAUCCUCGGCGCUCAAAUAUCACAAGAUUUAAGAUGCUAUUUUCAGUGAUUAAAGAUUUUUGUUACCUAUAAAUAAUUUAUUUGAUAUGAUAUAAAAAUUUAAAAUUAUUAAUCACAUAAUAUCAAAAUUAUUACUGAAUUGAGGAUGGCCCAGACGGGCACCACUUAUAUACGGCA
This 217-nucleotide long non-coding RNA is filed under the name Elaeis guineensis (African oil palm). RNAcentral's name for it is "long non-coding RNA (EGUI_LNC040200)". Lineage: Eukaryota; Viridiplantae; Streptophyta; Magnoliopsida; Arecales; Arecaceae. The record is from RNAcentral.